ACACCAAAAUGUCAGGGGUCAGAGGUCAAGAUGGACUCCAGUGCAGGGGCAGCCAGUGGGAAGACCAGUGUGGAUGGAGGUUGACGCUCUGUCCUGUGUUCAUUUAUGUGGUUUUCCAGAAUGUCCAGAGGCUGACAGUGGGGAAGACCAGUAUGGAUGAGGAGGUGGAAUGGAGCUUGGAUGCUCACUCCUGUCUCUCUUUUCCCUAAUUUUCCAGAGUCCAGAGGCUGCCAGUGGUAAGAUGGGUAUGGAAGAGGUGUUGGGAUUGACAUCGGACUAUAUUUUCCUUAAUUUUCCAGGCUGGCCAGAGGCCGAUAGUGGGAAGACGGGAUGUCCAGAGAAGUCAGUGGGAACACCAGUGUGGAUGAAGCGUUGGGAUGGAGGUUGACACUCUGUCCUGUGUUCAUUUCUGUAGUUUUCCAGAAUGUCCCGAGGCCGACAGUGGGAAGAUGGUAUGUAUGAGGAGUUGGGAUAGAGGUUAGCUGCUCUGUUUUUUUUCCCUUCUUUACCAGGAGAAGUGCAGAGGCUGACAUUGUGGAAGACAUGUACAUAUGAAGAUUGAACCCUGUCCCGAGUUCUUUUCCCUAAUUUUCCGGGAUGUUCACAAGCAGACAGUCGAGAGGCAGGUGUGGUGUUGGGACUGAUGCUGAACUCUCUCUGCUGUAUAAUUUUCCAGCUGACCAGAGGCGGCCAGUGGGAAGACGGGUGUUGUUGGGAUAGAGGUUAGAUGUUCACUCCUUUUAAUCUUUUCCUUCACUUUCUAGGAUGUCCAGAAAAUUAAAACCCUCUCCCGUCUCUAUUUUCCGGGUUGGCCAGAGACUACCAGUUGGAAGAUGGGUAUGGCUGGGAGUUGGGAUGGAGCAGUGAAGAAACCUUUACUUGUUCCUUUGUGGCCUACACAUCCUGAUGUAUCUCCCUACUUGAGCUGUUGUAAGACAUGGACUGCUGUACUGAACUGUCACUUGUACAAUGUUGUAACAGUCACCUUCUGUCCUGUAUCUCAGUGUCACACUCAGAUUUCUGAAACUGUCCCCUGUACUCUAGGGUGUAAUACUCAGACCUAUGUACUGUGCUGUUAUGUGAACUGUCACCUGGAGUGUUGUACUAAACUGUCAUUGUACAAUGUUGUAAUACUCAGCCCUCUGUACUGUAUUUCAGUGUAAGACUCAGCCUUGUCCUACUUUGACACCUGUACUCUAUUGUAAUAUUCAGACUUAAGUACUGUUUUGAACUGUCCCCUGGGUUGUUGUAUUACUCAGACCUGCGGCCUGUGUUCUGAACUGUUAUCUGUAUUAUGUUGUAAUACUGAGAGCUGUGUACCUUAUGGUGUUGUAACUGAUAGACUGCUGUUCUGAACUGUCCCUUGUACACUGUUGUAACAAUCACCCUCUGUACUGUAUUGCAGUGUAACAUAUAUUUCUGUCCCAAAAUGUCACCUUUACUUGAUUGUAAUACUCAGCCAUGUGUACGGUCUUCUAACUGUUUUCUCUAUUGUAAUAUUGAGAGUUGUGUGUUGUAAUAGAUGGUCUGCUGUACUAAACUGGCACUUUGUUGUAGUGGUGGUGUUGUAUUUCAGUAUAAGAGAUGGUUUGUAGACAAUUUAAAAAUAUCUGUACUUGCUUGUAGUACUCAACCGUGUGUACUGUACUCCACUGUGCUCUGUUACUAAUAUUGUUGUAAUACAGGCUGGGGCCAGAGUAUUAUGCUCAGUUUUUGUCUAAAACAAUUACCUUUACUGUAAUAUUCAGAUUUGUGUACUGUGAUAUGAAUUUCUAUUAUGCUGUUGUAAUACAGUCCAGGGUCCUGUGCUGCAGACUUCUGUCCCAUAGUGUCAAUUGUACAUGAGGGUGGUAGUCAAACAUGUGUAAUGUACUGUGCUCAGUAGUAGUGUUGUAAUACCCUCAGCUGGGUACAGGAGUGUGAAAUAUCACCUUGAUUCUG
Molecule: non-coding RNA, 1941 nt
Organism: Lepisosteus oculatus (spotted gar)
Lineage: Eukaryota; Metazoa; Chordata; Actinopteri; Semionotiformes; Lepisosteidae
Source: RefSeq, a predicted model, not a curated record